Molecule: microRNA precursor, 84 nt
Filed under: Macaca nemestrina (pig-tailed macaque)
Lineage: Eukaryota; Metazoa; Chordata; Mammalia; Primates; Cercopithecidae
Description: miRNA (ENSMNEG00000003180.1)
Source: RNAcentral
UUAGGUUGGUGCAAAAGUAAUUGCGGUUUUUGCCAUUGAAAGUAAUGGCAAAAACCGCAAUUACUUUUGUAGCAGCCUAAUAAA